CUCUCAUGCCGUCCUUGAAUGGUGCAUCCUGGCAUUAAGUUGUCGGGGUGAGAGCCGUUCAUCGUUUACUGUGAGAAAAUUAGAGUGUUCAAAGCAGGCUUAUGCCGUUGAAUAUAUUAGCAUGGAAUAAUAAGAUAGGACUUUGGUACUAUUUUGUUGGUUUGAGAACCAAGGUAAUGAUCAAUAGGGACAGUUGGGGGUAUUCGUAUUCAGUUGUCAGAGGUGAAAUUCUUAGAUUUCCGGAAGACGAACUACUGCGAAAGCAUUUACCAAGGAUGUUUUCAUUAAUCAAGAACGAAAGUAUGGGGAUCGAAGAUGAUUAGAUACCAUCGUAGUCUAUACCAUAAACUAUGCCGACUCAGGAUGGGCGGGUGCAUUUUUGCCUCGUCUGCACUGUAUGAGAAAUCAAAGUCUUUGGGUUCCGGGGGGA
Molecule: ribosomal RNA, 430 nt
Filed under: Chaetoceros cf. neogracilis
Lineage: Eukaryota; Bacillariophyta; Thalassiosirophyceae; Chaetocerotales; Chaetocerotaceae
Description: SSU rRNA
Rfam family: Eukaryotic small subunit ribosomal RNA
Source: RNAcentral